RNAcentral lists this long non-coding RNA (2842 nucleotides) under Sorghum bicolor (sorghum). RNAcentral describes it as "long non-coding RNA (SBIC_LNC017233)". Lineage: Eukaryota; Viridiplantae; Streptophyta; Magnoliopsida; Poales; Poaceae. The record is from RNAcentral.
AACAAGAAUUUAUCAGGUUCGUUCCCAACCCAGUACUUGGGCCUCUUCAAUGAUCAGACCAAUGGUGACCCAAACAGCCACAUAUUUGCAAUUGAACUCGACACUGUCCAAAAUUAUGACCUACAAGACAUCAACAACAACCAUAUUGGCAUUAAUAUCAAUAGUCUUCGCUCCAUUCAAUCCUAUGAUGCAGGCUACUAUGAUGAUAAAAGUGGUUUGUUCAAAAAUUUGGCACUCAAUAGCCAUGAGGUGAUGCAAGUGUGGGUGAACUACAACAGAGAAACCACACAGAUCAAUGUGACCAUAGCUCCCCUAAAUGUUGCAAAACCAGUGAGGCCACUGUUGUCUACUACCUACAAUCUCUCAACAGUUAUCACUAAUCCAGCGUAUAUUGGUUUCUCAUCCUCAACAGGCUCUGUUAGUGGACAGCACUAUCUGCUUGGUUGGAGUUUUGGCAUCAACAAUCCUGCUCCACCAAUCGACAUUACCAAGCUUCCAGAGAUUCCUCAUCUUGGUCAAAAGGCUCAGUCGAAAGCAUUAAAGAUAACUCUCCCAAUAACAAUUCUGGUUCUCCUACUUGCUGCAAGCAUUACUAUUUUUUUAUUCAUGCGGAGGAAUCUAAGAUAUGCUGAACUACGUGAAGAUUGGGAGGAUGAGUAUGGGCCUCACAGGUUCUCAUACAAGGAUUUAUUUGAUGCCACAGGAGGAUUUAGAGAUGAUAACUUGUUAGGUACAGGAGGGUUUGGAAUGGUAUAUAAGGGGAUUCUCCCUGUAUCCAGACUGAAUGUUGCUGUGAAGAGGGUGUCACAUGACUCAAAACAAGGCAUAAAGGAGUUUAUAGCAGAAAUUGUUAGCAUUGGCCAUCUUCAACAUCGUAACCUUGUGCCAUUAUUGGGAUACUGCCGGCGUAGAGGCGAGCUUCUCUUAGUGUAUGAUUACAUGCACAAUGGAAGCCUUGACAAGUACUUGUAUAGUAAAGAGGGCAAGCCUACUUUAGAUUGGAUUCAAAGGUUCCGAAUAAUCAAAGGAGUAGCAUCUGGUUUACUGUACCUUCAUGAGGAGUGUGAAAAAGUCAUCAUACAUCGCGACAUUAAAGCAAGCAAUGUGCUCAUCGACAAUGAGAUCAAUGGGCGGAUAGGUGAUUUUGGUCUUGCAAAAUUGUAUGAUCAUGGCACUGACCCAGAAGCAACACAUGUAGUUGGCACCAUAGGAUACCUAGCUCCAGAGCUAGCACGCACUAGCAGGGCAAAUCCUUUAACAGAUGUAUUUGCUUUUGGUAUAUUCAUUCUUGAGGUCACAUGUGGGCAAAGGCCUAUCAAGCAAAAUACUGAAGGCAUACAGGUAAUGUUAGUUGACUGGGUUUUGGAACAUUGGCAUAAAGGGUCACUUACUGAUGCGGUGGACAUCAAAAUUCAAGGUGAAUAUGAUAUUGAUGAGGCAUGUCUAGCACUGAAGCUAGGAUUGUUAUGCUCCCACCCAUUCACUAGAGCAAGGCCAAAUAUGAGGCAAGUCAUGCAGUACCUUAACAAAGAAAUGCCAAUACCAGAGUUAACACCAAACAUAAAUUUCUCCAUGCUAGCCUUGAUGCAGAAUGAUGAGCUCAUAAUGCACUGUCCAUCGGAAAUUGGCUUUGGCACAAUAUCUACAAUCUCAGGAGGUAGAUGACUAGAUGACAUGAGGCUUGACAGUGCACAUGGCCUUCAAUGUUUGCAUGCAUACAUAGCCAAUGUUGUGUAAAGAUGAAGUAAACUCUAUAAAUAGAAGUUGCUUAACUUUGGUUUUUGAUGCUCUUCUGUUGUCUGAUUUAGACUAAAUUACCCCAUUCUUUGUGUGCUCAUUAAAUUAAUCUUUGUGAUUCUCGAAUUAUUUUGAAUCUCGUUUUCAUUCAUAAAUGUAUAAAUUUAUUAUCAUUCAAAAAAAAAUUGUCCAUAUAACUGGACAAGAUUUCUCCAAGACAACGAGAAAAUACAUCAUAAUCACAGACAUAGUCAAUGAAACCAAGGAAAGUGAUUGCAUUGAUGGUAACAACUAAAUCAGAGCACUUCUUGAGAUAUUUUAAAGAAAUGGAACAUGUAGAUGGGCAGAAAGGGAUUUAUGGUCCAGAACUUGACUUGAGAAACACACUAGAUCAUAAGGCCAAGAACUAAUUCAUAUCAUACAUAAAAAAGUAUGAAUAAGUUGAUAAUAAAUUUAUUUCGACCAUAUUAACUGGCCAAUAUCUAGAUAAACUAAACACAGGGAGCAGACAUGACAGACACAGACAUGAUCAGUGAGAUCAGUGGAAUUGAAAGCAGUGAUCGUAAAUUCAACAAAAAUCCUAGCACAACAUGCAUUUCUUGACAUAUUCCUAUUAACUGGGACAUAUAGACAAUGGACAAGGAAAUUUCAUUCUCAAGAAAUUGUUCCAAGAGACAGAAAUACGUGACCAUGUUGAUCAACCUUAUGUUAAGCUAUGAAAAUCAACUAUGAUAGCAGUGCUAAAAGACGUGAUAGCUACCCAUCCAUAAAAAAAGACUGUAAGGUAGCAAGAACCAAGAGAGCCUACUCUAGUAGAUUAAGAGAAAAAAGUCCUCACAAUAUGAAACAUUCAAAGGAAAUGUAAGAAAAAAUCAACAGGUCAAAGUAUCCAGCAAAUGUUCGAACCAGAACAAAUAGUUAAUUGUACUGAUUCAACAUCCACUGACAGUGACUCUUAUUGAAUGCCAUAUAUGUUGGAAGAAAAGUAAACACUAAACACCUUACCAGUUCAAUUCCACUAUAUAUUAGCCACAAAUUGAGACCUCCAAGUAGCUUAGAAAAUACUUUGCUCUUGCAUCUUUCUUGAACUACCAGAAGUUACACC